CUACCCCUUCGUGGAUAAUCGUUUUCUUAAUUCGACGUUUUAUUCGUGUCCAUUUUGAUUUCAGUCAGAAAAUUUCAUUAUAUCGAUAACAUGAUUGGGGCAGUCUUGUAUUAUAAUUUCGCAGGGAGAAUGGCUAAAUAGUUAUUUAGCCAUGGCAGGGAUAAUGAGAACAUGGAAGAAAUGAAAACGCGUCUUGUGUAAGGGUUAACCAGUUACCAGACACCAGUUAAGCGCCAUAAGCCAGCUGUUUAUAACCCUAGUUUAGAUUAUUUGUCAAGGACCAUCGUGUAUCCGGACGGUUGGUCACACUCCUAGUCUCCCGUUGAGGCUUCUGCGCAUCGCGAAUUCCCUUUUCUUUCUUUUGAGUUUUAUUGCUUUGCUGCGAACCUAACCGUUUCUUCUUACAGCGCAAGUGCGCAACAAAUACUACAAGUCUUUAAUCCGUUUUUGUCGUCCCCGGACCUCUGUCACUGUUUUGUAUUUGUUUUAUUUUUUUUAUUCUCCUAUCGUUUAUAACGCUUGAUUGAGUUUCGAAAACCGUGUAUCCAAAAGUAUCUAAUGGAUGACGGAUCAAUACGACGGAUUAAUACUUCGGAUCACGUUUUCACAUUUUACGUUUAAUCCACAGGUUUUUAUCCACUUCGAUCCGAUCAUUUGACUGUUGUGGUUUCCGUUUAACUUGUUACAAUAUUUCGUGAGUAUUUAAUGUAUUUAUUCUUUCGUCACUUUUGACAUUUACCAUGUGCUGUAUUUUCAUUAUUCGAUAACUAUUUCACACUCGAAAAUGCCGAUCUUUGUUAAAUCGAAUUUCUACUGACCGCAAUAUUUGACUGGUGCCAAACGUUUUAUAAUAUACAAUAUACAUACAUUAUUAAGAGGCCAUUCGCGUUUACCAAACACGUGACGAACGAAUACGACCCCAUCGGCGUGUGUGUUUAAUUAAUUUUUUUGCGAUUCAUACUAUUAAUUAUAAACGCGUGUUGAAGUAAUAUCAAACCUGAACAAAACACACGACGUUGGAACGGUUCAAACGAGAUGGAUCUAUGAAUUUUCAGCUACGAGCAAAACGCCGUAAUGUGCGAGCAAUGUAUUUCUAUUGAAUUUAGAAGAGAUGAAGAUGAAGCGUUGUGCAUGCAGAGCUACUACCUGACAUUUAAAUCCGCGCCCUACCGUAUCCAUUGCUGUCAUACGAUGAACUGUAAGUAAUAAUCAGAUAUUAUAUCGUUAAGUGAACAUAUACCUAGGGCUUUCAUAAUUAUAAGAAUUUUUCUAAACCAUCCUAUUGACCAGCAGGGCUUUUUAGGUUAUUAACAUUAUGUAAUGACAUUAUGACCAUAAAACUACUAAUGAAGUACUGUUAGCUAUCGGUAUUUUUUUUAACAAUUAAAAGGUUAUAUACUCGUAAAAAAUAGUAUUCUGGUCGUUGGGGCCAGCGUGUAAAAAAAAAAACAAUAACAUAAUAUGUAGUUGCUUCUCCCACGCCAGUGGUCCGUUGAUCGGUCUUCGUAGGGGCAGUGGCGUACUUAACUCGUAGACAUUAUUCAGAACGUUAACGUUAUGUAUGAUUUUACGUCGGCAUCGUGUAUUGCGCUUGUUCAUCAUCGCAUCGGUGCGUAGUGGAGGCCAGAGGAUUGAAUUCUCGCUCCACUGUCGCCACCACCAGUCGGUGGUAGUGUGUUUCAACUUACACGAUGUGGGCGUGCUCUGUGCGUGCCGUGUAUUGAUACGAUAUUAUGAUAUGUUUAAUUAUAUGUAUUAUGUAUCGUAUGCAGCUGCAAUGAUGGAAAUAUGAAAUGUAACAUUUAAUAGGUAACGAAAUUGAUUGAUCGUUGUCGUCGUCGACGAAGCCAAAAGGUGGCUGAUAUAAUAAAAUAAUAUAAUAACAGUAUAAACUUCUAUAAACUUCCAUUAACUAAUUGAUAGCGUAAAUAUUAUACUACUGCCGUGGUGUAUGUGAUUUGCCCAUUUCUUUUCCACUACCCGUCUAUCUACCUAACUACCUGUAUACUCUCUCUGCUCCGUGGUAAACCCGGAAUAUUGUUAUUAUAAUUUCUACUAAUAGUGACACUCCAUCAGAUAACACUGUUGACGUGUGUCAUAGUAAUGAAACCAUCGCAGCACAGCUAGUUAUCCUAGUCGCAGUGUUUGUUACCUGGACGAUUUAAAUUGAUCAAGAAUCCAGUUAUUAUGAUAUCACGCCUUAGAUGGAUCAUUUUAAACUAUAUAUAAUUCUCAGGUAAUUCUCUGACCCUCUUAUACAUAAAAACUGAUUAAUAGUUAAGUAAUAAUUCAAUGAAAAAUAAUACAUACAUAUAUACAUAUAUAUAUAUACUCGUAUCUAUUAUUAAAAAAAGCAAUAAUUUUAAAUUGCGUAAUAUUGUACUAAAUUGAAGUGAACCCUUAACCAUAGGCGUAACUAGGGGGAGACUGGGGGGGGAGGCUUAGCCCGUCCAAUAUUAAUUUUAGCCCCCCCUGUCAAAA
Myzus persicae (green peach aphid) is the source of this 2481-nucleotide long non-coding RNA. RefSeq lists it as uncharacterized. The record is from RefSeq and is a predicted model, not a curated record. The transcript has 3 exons. Lineage: Eukaryota; Metazoa; Arthropoda; Insecta; Hemiptera; Aphididae.